RNAcentral lists this ribosomal RNA (579 nucleotides) under uncultured cyanobacterium. RNAcentral describes it as "bacterial SSU rRNA". It matches the Rfam family "Bacterial small subunit ribosomal RNA", at positions 152 to 761 of the family's 1533-position model. The record is from RNAcentral. Lineage: Bacteria; Bacillati; Cyanobacteriota.
GGAAACGACUGCUAAUACCCCAUAUGCCUACGGGUGAAACGGUGAAUUCCGCCUGAAGAUGAACUCGCGUCAGAUUAGCUAGUUGGUGGGGUAAGGGCCUACCAAGGCGACGAUCUGUAGCUGGUCUGAGAGGAUGAUCAGCCACACUGGGACUGAGACACGGCCCAGACUCCUACGGGAGGCAGCAGUGGGGAAUUUUCCGCAAUGGGCGAAAGCCUGACGGAGCAACGCCGCGUGCGGGAUGACGGCCUGUGGGUUGUAAACCGCUUUUCUCAGGGAAGAAGAUCUGACGGUACCUGAGGAAUCAGCAUCGGCUAACUCCGUGCCAGCAGCCGCGGUAAUACGGAGGAUGCAAGCGUUAUCCGGAAUUAUUGGGCGUAAAGCGUCCGCAGGCGGCUUAUCAAGUCUGCUGUUAAAUGUCGGGGCUCAACUCCGAUUUGGCAGUGGAAACUGAUAGGCUAGAGUACGGUAGGGGUAGAGGGAAUUCCCAGUGUAGCGGUGAAAUGCGUAGAUAUUGGGAAGAACACCAGUGGCGAAGGCGCUCUACUGGGCCGUAACUGACGCUGAGGGACGAAAGCU